UACGUAGGUGGCAAGCGUUGUCCGGAUUUACUGGGUGUAAAGGGCGUGUAGCCGGGCUGACAAGUCAGAUGUGAAAUCCGGGGGCUCAACCCCCGAACUGCAUUUGAAACUGUUGGUCUUGAGUAUCGGAGAGGCAGGCGGAAUUCCUAGUGUAGCGGUGAAAUGCGUAGAUAUUAGGAGGAACACCAGUGGCGAAGGCGGUCUGCUGGACAGCAACUGACGCUGAGGCGCGAAGGUGCGGGUAUCGAACAGG
This 253-nucleotide ribosomal RNA is filed under the name uncultured bacterium. RNAcentral's name for it is "partial 16S ribosomal RNA". It matches the Rfam family "Bacterial small subunit ribosomal RNA", at positions 524 to 776 of the family's 1533-position model. The record is from RNAcentral.